AGUUUGAUCCUGGCUCAGGAUGAACGCUAGCUACAGGCUUAACACAUGCAAGUCGAGGGGCAGCAUGGUCUUAGCUUGCUAAGGCCGAUGGCGACCGGCGCACGGGUGAGUAACACGUAUCCAACCUGCCGUCUACUCUUGGACAGCCUUCUGAAAGGAAGAUUAAUACAAGAUGGCAUCAUGAGUCCGCAUGUUCACAUGAUUAAAGGUAUUCCGGUAGACGAUGGGGAUGCGCUCCAUUAGAUAGUAGGCGGGGUAACGGCCCACCUAGUCUUCGAUGGAUAGGGGUUCUGAGAGGAAGGUCCCCCACAUUGGAACUGAGACACGGUCCAAAUCCUACGGGAGGCAGCAGUGAGGAAUAUUGGUCAAUGGGCGAGAGCCUGAACCAGCCAAGUAGCGUGAAGGAUGACUGCCCUAUGGGUUGUAAACUUCUUUUAUAAAGGAAUAAAGUCGGGUAUGGAUACCCGUUUGCAUGUACUUUAUGAAUAAGGAUCGGCUAACUCCGUGCCAGCAGCCGCGGUAAUACGGAGGAUCCGAGCGUUAUCCGGAUUUAUUGGGUUUAAAGGGAGCGUAGAUGGAUGUUUAAGUCAGUUGUGAAAGUUUGCGGCUCAACCGUAAAAUUGCAGUUGAUACUGGAUAUCUUGAGUGCAGUUGAGGCAGGCGGAAUUCGUGGUGUAGCGGUGAAAUGCUUAGAUAUCACGAAGAACUCCGAUUGCGAAGGCAGCCUGCUAAGCUGCAACUGACAUUGAGGCUCGAAAGUGUGGGUAUCAAACAGGAUUAGAUACCCUGGUAGUCCACACGGUAAACGAUGAAUACUCGCUGUUUGCGAUAUACUGCAAGCGGCCAAGCGAAAGCGUUAAGUAUUCCACCUGGGGAGUACGCCGGCAACGGUGAAACUCAAAGGAAUUGACGGGGGCCCGCACAAGCGGAGGAACAUGUGGUUUAAUUCGAUGAUACGCGAGGAACCUUACCCGGGCUUAAAUUGCAGAUGAAUUACGGUGAAAGCCGUAAGCCGCAAGGCAUCUGUGAAGGUGCUGCAUGGUUGUCGUCAGCUCGUGCCGUGAGGUGUCGGCUUAAGUGCCAUAACGAGCGCAACCCUUGUUGUCAGUUACUAACAGGUUCCGCUGANGACUCUGACAAGACUGCCAUCGUAAGAUGUGAGGAAGGUGGA
RNAcentral lists this ribosomal RNA (1171 nucleotides) under uncultured Bacteroides sp. RNAcentral's name for it is "bacterial SSU rRNA". It matches the Rfam family "Bacterial small subunit ribosomal RNA", at positions 10 to 1177 of the family's 1533-position model. Lineage: Bacteria; Pseudomonadati; Bacteroidota; Bacteroidia; Bacteroidales; Bacteroidaceae. The record is from RNAcentral.